UCAUGCAAAGUGCAAACGGAAUGUGC
RNAcentral lists this small RNA (26 nucleotides) under Bombyx mori (domestic silkworm). Its description in RNAcentral is "ovarian small RNA-7084". Lineage: Eukaryota; Metazoa; Arthropoda; Insecta; Lepidoptera; Bombycidae. The record is from RNAcentral.